UUUUUUUUAUAUUUACUGGCUCCAGAUUGAACGCUGGCGGCAGGCCUAACACAUGCAAGUCGAGCGGUAGAGAGAAGCUUGCUUCUCUUGAGAGCGGCGGACGGGUGAGUAAUGCCUAGGAAUCUGCCUGGUAGUGGGGGAUAACGUUCGGAAACGGACGCUAAUACCGCAUACGUCCUACGGGAGAAAGCAGGGGACCUUCGGGCCUUGCGCUAUCAGAUGAGCCUAGGUCGGAUUAGCUAGUUGGUGAGGUAAUGGCUCACCAAGGCGACGAUCCGUAACUGGUCUGAGAGGAUGAUCAGUCACACUGGAACUGAGACACGGUCCAGACUCCUCGGGAGGCAGCAGUGGGGAAUAUUGGACAAUGGGCGAAAGCCUAUCCACCAUCCGCGUGUGUGAAGAAGGUCUUCGGAUGUAAACACUUUAAGUGGGAAAGGCAUU
This 441-nucleotide ribosomal RNA is filed under the name Pseudomonas sp. BR-Subra-60. Its description in RNAcentral is "bacterial SSU rRNA". It matches the Rfam family "Bacterial small subunit ribosomal RNA", at positions 1 to 452 of the family's 1533-position model. The record is from RNAcentral. Lineage: Bacteria; Pseudomonadati; Pseudomonadota; Gammaproteobacteria; Pseudomonadales; Pseudomonadaceae.